Hemicordylus capensis (graceful crag lizard) is the source of this 12006-nucleotide long non-coding RNA. RefSeq lists it as uncharacterized. NCBI's taxonomy places the organism in Eukaryota, Metazoa, Chordata, Lepidosauria, Squamata, Cordylidae. The transcript has 5 exons. The record is from RefSeq and is a predicted model, not a curated record.
GGCAACGGGGGAGCAAGGACAGAAGAAAGAGGUGCAGAAGGAGGAAGAGGAACAAGCAGGAAGGCGCCAGCGGAGGAGACGUGAAAAGAAGCAGGAGGAGACCGGCUCUCCAGGAGCUUAGCAGAAGAAACGGGCAGGCUGUGCUUCCACCGGGCGGACGGCUUCAUUUCGCUCCCUCUCUCGGCCACUGAUCACUCUGCGUGGGGCUGCAGCUGGCCCUGCAGCGUGGCAUUCCUGGUGCUGGACUUCAUGUCUUUGCACUCAGGAGCCCUGACAGGGGUGGGAGUGCGGCCUUCUCAGGCCGCCCUGAAUCUCUCUGCACCGAGUCCCUUGCCAUUGGGUGGGAGGUGGCUUGCUCCUGCUGGACCUGAAGUAUGUGCGCUGAGCCGCCCCUGGAUGGGACUGGGGGUAUUGCUUUUUCGCGCCACUGCUUUCUGUAUGUGCGCUGAGCUGCCCCUGGGUAGGCUGGCCUGGGGGUGUUGCUUCCUCGCGCCGAGCCUUAGAGGUAUGUGCGCUGAGCCGCCCCUGGUCGGGGCUGGGGGCGUUAGCUUUCUCACGCCGAGCUUGAUGCCAUGUGCGCUGAGCCUGCCCCUGGCUGGGCUCAGCUUGGGGGUGUUGCUUCCUCUCGCGCCGAGCCUUCGGGUAUGUGCGCUGAGCCGCCCCGGGCUGGGGCUGGGAGCGUUGCUUUGUGCUGCCAGGCCUUAUGUCUCUGCACUGAGCCGCCCCAGUGAGGGCUGGGGGCGUUGCUUCCUCUCGCCACGAGCUUCACGUCUUUGCUCUGAGAAGCCCCUCAUUUGGCCAGGGGGUGGCUCUCUCCAAGCCUUGCUGCCUGACUUUGCCCUUCAUGCUCCCAGUGGUGUUGAGCUGGCCACUCCGGCCUGCCCACGGAGCAAGCUCGGGACGGUAGAAGUGUGGCCUCCCGGACCCCUUCCAGCAGCAGCAGCAGCCGCCUCUGCUGGCUGAAGGCACACGCCUGACGCUUGGUGUGCUCACGCUCCUCCUUGGCUUGGGCUCUUGCGUGAGCAGGGCUGCUCCUCAAGAAGGCCUUCUGAAGAGGGAAAAGAGUCAAGAGCUGCGAGAAGCUGAUCUCUUGCCAUGGGAGGCAAAGGAGAGAAAGGGCAGAAGAAAGAAGUGCCGCAGGCUGGCGAAAGAGAAGCCGCAAGGAGCAACAGGAGGAGACCUGGACGGGGAAGAAGGAGGCGGAGAAGACUGGCUCUCAAGCAGCUUCACAGAAGGAAGAAGGGGGAGAUUCCGCUCCCACCAGCUGGAGGGCCUCAUUGCUGCCCUUCUCUCUGCUCUGUCUCCCUGAGUAGCCACUGGUUUGGGAGGGGCGUGGACAGAACAGGAUGGACUCGGUGUCCAUCCGCUCAGUGGCCCUUUCUGGAACUGGGCUGUGGCUUUCUCGUGCUGGACUUCAUGUCUCUGCACUUGGGGAGCCCUACAAAUAGUGAGAGGGUGGCCCUCAUAGGGGCCAUCCAAGGGGCAGCCCCUAUUUCAGCUGAGCUGUGGCUUUCUCGGGCUGGACUUUAUGUCUUUGCACUGGGGAGCCCUACGACUGUGGGAGCGUGGCCUUCUUGGUGUCUGUAUACUGGAGAAGCCCGGAUUGGUCUGGGGAGUGGCCUUCUCGUGCUGGACUUUACGUCUUUGCACUGGGGAGCCCUACAAAUAGUGAGAGGGUGGCCCUCAUAGGGGACAUCCAAGGGGCAGCCCCUAUUUCAGCUGAGGUGUGGCUUUCUCGGGCUGGACUUUAUGUCUUUGCACUGGGGAGCCCUACGACUGUGGGAAGUGUCUGUAUACUGGAGAACUCCUGAUUUGUCUGGGGGCGUGUUUCUCGUGCUGGACUUCACGUCUCUGCACUGGGGAGCCCUACAAAUAGUGAGAGGGUGGCCCUCGUACACGGAGCAGCCCCCAUUUCAGCUGAGGUGUGGCUUUCUCGUGCUGGACUUCACGUCUUUGCACUGCGGAGCCCUACAAUUGUGGGAGCGUGGCCUCUUUUUGAUUAUUAUUAUUUUGACAUUUCUAGCCCGCUCUUCUUCCCAGGAGCCCAAAGCGGUGUACUGCAUACUUGUUUCCCCCCCGUCCCACAACAACCCUGUGAGUAGGUUAGGCUGAGAGAGAAGCGACUGGCCCAGAGUCACCCAGCUAGUAGCAUGGCUGAAUGGGGAUUUGGACUCGAGUCUCCCCGGUCCUAGUAAACUAGGGAACCCCUGAUUUGGCUGUGGUGCCGGUUUCACGUGCUGGACUUCACGUCUUUGCACUGGGGAGCCCUACAAUGGUAAGAGUAUGGCCAUCGUAGUGGCUGUAUACUGGGGAACCCCGAUUUGGCCGGAGAGCGGCUUUCUCAUGCUGGACUUCACGUCCUGGCACUGGGGAGCCCCAAAAGAGGUGGGAGUAUGUCCUCCUCAGACGAGCCUGAGUGUCUGUAUGCUGCGUGGCUGCUCGUUUAUCCGCAGGGUGCCGUUCCUCGCUGCGUGACUUUGCCCUUCAUCUUGCAAGUGGUGAUGAGUUGGCAUCUCCCAACUGCCCCGUCCCUAGUCUUCAGCUUGGCGCGCCCUGCCCACGGAGAAAGCCAGGGACGGUGGAAGUGCGGCAUCCAUGACCUCUUCAAGCAGCGUGGUGUGCCGAGGAGCGGGCCCUGCUGGCUGGCUGAAGAAGGCACACGAAGGCAACGGGGGAGCAAGGACAGAAGAAAGAGGUGCAGAAGGAGGAAGAGGAACAAGCAGGAAGGCGCCAGCGGAGGAGACGUGAAAAGAAGCAGGAGGAGACCGGCUCUCCAGGAGCUUAGCAGAAGAAACGGGCAGGCUGUGCUUCCACCGGGCGGACGGCUUCAUUUCGCUCCCUCUCUCGGCCACUGAUCACUCUGCGUGGGGCUGCAGCUGGCCCUGCAGCGUGGCAUUCCUGGUGCUGGACUUCAUGUCUUUGCACUCAGGAGCCCUGACGGGUGGGAGUGCGGCCUCCUCAGGCCGCCCUGAAUCUCUCUGCACCGAGUCCCUUGCCAUUGGGUGGGAGGUGGCUUGCUCCUGCUGGACCUGAAGUAUGUGUGCUGAGCCGCCCCUGGAUGGGACUGGGGGUAUUGCUUUUUCGCGCCACUGCUUUCUGUAUGUGCGCUGAGCUGCCCCUGGGUAGGCUGGCCUGGGGGUGUUGCUUCCUCGUGCCGAGCCUUAGAGGUAUGUGCGCUGAGCCGCCCCUGGUCGGGGCUGGGGGCGUUAGCUUUCUCACGCCGAGCUUGAUGCCAUGUGCGCUGAGCCUGCCCCUGGCUGGGCUCAGCUUGGGGGUGUUGCUUCCUCUCGCGCCGAGCCUUCGGGUAUGUGCGCUGAGCCGCCCCGGGCUGGGGCUGGGAGCGUUGCUUUGUGCUGCCAGGCCUUAUGUCUCUGCACUGAGCCGCCCCAGUGAGGGCUGGGGGCGUUGCUUCCUCUCGCCACGAGCUUCACGUCUUUGCUCUGAGAAGCCCCUCAUUUGGCCAGGGGGUGGCUCUCUCCAAGCCUUGCUGCCUGACUUUGCCCUUCAUGCUCCCAGUGGUGUUGAGCUGGCCACUCCGGCCUGCCCACGGAGCAAGCUCGGGACGGUAGAAGUGUGGCCUCCCGGACCUCUUCCAGCAGCAGCAGCAGCCGCCUCUGCUGGCUGAAGGCACACGCCUGACGCUUGGUGUGCUCACGCUCCUCCUUGGCUUGGGCUCUUGCGUGAGCAGGGCUGCUCCUCAAGAAGGCCUUCUGAAGAGGGAAAAGAGUCAAGAGCUGCGAGAAGCUGAUCUCUUGCCUUGGGAGGCAAAGGAGAGAAAGGGCAGAAGAAAGAAGUGCCGCAGGCUGGCGAAAGAGAAGCCGCAAGGAGCAACAGGAGGAGACCUGGACGGGGAAGAAGGAGGCGGAGAAGACUGGCUCUCAAGCAGCUUCACAGAAGGAAGAAGGGGGAGAUUCCGCUCCCACCAGCUGGAGGGCCUCAUUGCUGCCCUUCUCUCUGCUCUGUCUCCCUGAGUAGCCACUGGUUUGGGAGGGGCGUGGACAGAACAGGAUGGACUCGGUGUCCAUCCGCUCAGUGGCCCUUUCUGGAACUGGGCUGCGGCUUUCUCGUGCUGGACUUCAUGUCUCUGCACUGGGGAGCCCUACAAAUAGUGAGAGGGUGGCCCUCAUAGGGGCCAUCCAAGGGGCAGCCCCUAUUUCAGCUGAGCUGUGGCUUUCUCGGGCUGGACUUUAUGUCUUUGCACUGGGGAGCCCUACGACUGUGGGAGCGUGGCCUUCUUGGUGUCUGUAUACUGGAGAAGCCCGGAUUGGUCUGGGGAGUGGCCUUCUCGUGCUGGACUUUACGUCUUUGCACUGGGGAGCCCUACAAAUAGUGAGAGGGUGGCCCUCAUAGGGGGCAGCCCCUAUUUCAGCUGAGGUGUGGCUUUCUAGGGCUGGACUUUAUGUCUUUGCACUGGGGAGCCCUACGACUGUGGGAAGUGUCUGUAUACUGGAGAACUCCUGAUUUGUCUGGGGGCGUGUUUCUCGUGCUGGACUUCACGUCUCUGCACUGGGGAGCCCUACAAAUAGUGAGAGCGUGGCCCUCGUAGGGGCCGUACACGGAGCAGCCCCCAUUUCGGCUGAGGUGUGGCUUUCUCGUGCUGGACUUCACGUCUUUGCACUGCGGAGCCCUACAAUUGUGGGAGCGUGGCCUCUUUUUGAUUAUUAUUAUUUUGACAUUUCUAGCCCGCUCUUCUUCCCAGGAGCCCAAAGUGGUGUACUGCAUACUUGUUUCCCCCCCGUCCCACAACAACCCUGUGAGUAGGUUAGGCUGAGAGAGAAGCGACUGGCCCAGAGUCACCCAGCUAGUAGCAUGGCUGAAUGGGGAUUUGGACUCGAGUCUCCCCGGUCCUAGUAAACUAGGGAACCCCUGAUUUGGCUGUGGUGCCGGUUUCACGUGCUGGACUUCACGUCUUUGCACUGGGGAGCCCUACAAUGGUAAGAGUAUGGCCAUCGUAGUGGCUGUAUACUGGGGAACCCCGAUUUGGCCGGAGAGCGGCUUUCUCAUGCUGGACUUCAUGCUGGACUGGCACUGGGGAGCCCCAAAAGAGGUGGGAGUAUGUCCUCCUCAGACGAGCCUGAGUGUCUGUAUGCUGCGUGGCUGCUCGUUUAUCCCCAGGGUGCCGUUCCUCGCUGCGUGACUUCGCCCUUCAUCUUGCAAGUGGUGAUGAGUUGGCAUCUCCCAACUGCCCCGUCCCUAGUCUUCAGCUUGGCGCGCCCUGCCCACGGAGAAAGCCAGGGACGGUGGAAGUGCGGCAUCCAUGACCCCUUCAAGCAGCGUGGUGUGCCGAGGAGCGGGCCCUGCUGGCUGGCUGAAGAAGGCACACGAAGGCAACGGGGGAGCAAGGACAGAAGAAAGAGGUGCAGAAGGAGGAAGAGGAACAAGCAGGAAGGCGCCAGCGGAGGAGACGUGAAAAGAAGCAGGAGGAGACCGGCUCUCCAGGAGCUUAGCAGAAGAAACGGGCAGGCUGUGCUUCCACCGGGCGGACGGCUUCAUUUCGCUCCCUCUCUCGGCCACUGAUCACUCUGCGUGGGGCUGCAGCUGGCCCUGCAGCGUGGCAUUCCUGGUGCUGGACUUCAUGUCUUUGCACUCAGGAGCCCUGACAGGGGUGGGAGUGCGGCCUCCUCAGGCCGCCCUGAAUCUCUCUGCACCGAGUCCCUUGCCAUUGGGUGGGAGGUGGCUUGCUCCUGCUGGACCUGAAGUAUGUGUGCUGAGCCGCCCCUGGAUGGGACUGGGGGUAUUGCUUUUUCGCGCCACUGCUUUCUGUAUGUGCGCUGAGCUGCCCCUGGGUAGGCUGGCCUGGGGGUGUUGCUUCCUCGCGCCGAGCCUUAGAGGUAUGUGCGCUGAGCCGCCCCUGGUCGGGGCUGGGGGCGUUAGCUUUCUCACGCCGAGCUUGAUGCCAUGUGCGCUGAGCCUGCCCCUGGCUGGGCUCAGCUUGGGGGUGUUGCUUCCUCUCGCGCCGAGCCUUCGGGUAUGUGCGCUGAGCCGCCCCGGGCUGGGGCUGGGAGCGUUGCUUUGUGCUGCCAGGCCUUAUGUCUCUGCACUGAGCCGCCCCAGUGAGGGCUGGGGGCGUUGCUUCCUCUCGCCACGAGCUUCACGUCUUUGCUCUGAGAAGCCCCUCAUUUGGCCAGGGGGUGGCUCUCUCCAAGCCUUGCUGCCUGACUUUGCCCUUCAUGCUCCCAGUGGUGUUGAGCUGGCCACUCCGGCCUGCCCACGGAGCAAGCUCGGGACGGUAGAAGUGUGGCCUCCCGGACCUUUUCCAGCAGCAGCAGCAGCCUCUGCUGGCUGAAGGCACACGCCUGACGCUUGGUGUGCUCACGCUCCUCCUUGGCUUGGGCUCUUGCGUGAGCAGGGCUGCUCCUCAAGAAGGCCUUCUGAAGAGGGAAAAGAGUCAAGAGCUGCGAGAAGCUGAUCUCUUGCCUUGGGAGGCAAAGGAGAGAAAGGGCAGAAGAAAGAAGUGCCGCAGGCUGGCGAAAGAGAAGCCGCAAGGAGCAACAGGAGGAGACCUGGACGGGGAAGAAGGAGGCGGAGAAGACUGGCUCUCAAGCAGCUUCACAGAAGGAAGAAGGGGGAGAUUCCGCUCCCACCAGCUGGAGGGCCUCAUUGCUGCCCUUCUCUCUGCUCUCUCUCCCUGAGUGGAGGAUGAUUUACCUGGAGCCUGGCUGCUUCGGGAGGCUUAGGAUGUCCCUGCCCUGAGUAGCCACUGGUUUGGGAGGGGCGUGGACAGAACAGGAUGGACUCGGUGUCCAUCCGCUCAGUGGCCCUUUCUUGAACUGGGCUGCGGCUUUCUCGUGCUGGACUUCAUGUCUCUGCACUUGGGGAGCCCUACAAAUAGUGAGAGGGUGGCCCUCAUAGGGGCCAUCCAAGGGGCAGCCCCUAUUUCAGCUGAGGUGUGGCUUUCUUGGGCUGGACUUUAUGUCUUUGCACUGGGGAGCCCUACGACUGUGGGAAGUGUCUGUAUACUGGAGAACUGAUUUGUCUGGGGGCGUGUUUCUCGUGCUGGACUUCACGUCUCUGCACUGGGGAGCCCUACAAAUAGUGAGAGGGUGGCCCUUGUAGGGGCCGUACACGGAGCAGCCCCCAUUUCGGCUGAGGUGUGGCUUUCUCGUGCUGGACUUCACGUCUUUGCACUGUGGAGCCCUACAAUUGUGGGAGCGUGGCCUCUUUUUGAUUAUUAUUAUUUUGACAUUUCUAGCCCGCUCUUCUUCCCAGGAGCCCAAAGCGGUGUACUGCAUACUUGUUUCCCCCCCCGUCCCACAACAACCCUGUGAGUAGGUUAGGCUGAGAGAGAAGCGACUGGCCCAGAGUCACCCAGCUAGUAGCAUGGCUGAAUGGGGAUUUGGACUCGAGUCUCCCCGGUCCUAGUAAACUAGGGAACCCCUGAUUUGGCUGUGGUGCCGGUUUCACGUGCUGGACUUCACGUCUUUGCACUGGGGAGCCCUACAAUGGUAAGAGUAUGGCCAUCGUAGUGGCUGUAUACUGGGGACCCCCGAUUUGGCUGGGGAGCGGCUUUCUCAUGCUGGACUUCACGUCCUGGCCCUGGGGAGCCCCGAAAGCGGUGGGAGUAUGUCCUCCCCAGACGAGCCUGAGUGUCUGUAUGCUGCGUGGCUGCUCAUUUAUCCGCAGGGUGCCGUUCCUCGCUGCGUGACUUUGCCCUUCAUCUUGCGAGUGGUGAUGAGUUGGCAUCUCCCAACUGCCCCGUCCCUAGUCUUCAGCUUGGCGCGCCCUGCCCACGGAGAAAGCCAGGGAUGGUGGAAGUGCGGCAUCCAUGACCCCUUCAAGCAGCGUGGUGUGCCGAGGAGCGGGCCCUGCUGGCUGGCUGAAGAAGGCACACGAAGGCAACGGGGGAGCAAGGACAGAAGAAAGAGGUGCAGGAGGAGGAAGAGGAACAAGCAGGAAGGCGCCAGCGGAGGAGACGUGAAAAGAAGCAGGAGGAGACCGGCUCUCCAGGAGCUUAGCAGAAGAAACGGGCAGGCUGUGCUUCCACCGGGCGGACGGCUUCAUUUCGCUCCCUCUCUCGGCCACUGAUCACUCUGCGUGGGGCUGCAGCUGGCCCUGCAGCGUGGCAUUCCUGGUGCUGGACUUCAUGUCUUUGCACUCAGGAGCCCUGACGGGGUGGGAGUGCGGCCUUCUCAGGCCGCCCUGAAUCUCUCUGCACCGAGUCCCUUGCCAUUGGGUGGGAGGUGGCUUGCUCCUGCUGGACCUGAAGUAUGUGUGCUGAGCCGCCCCUGGAUGGGACUGGGGGUAUUGCUUUUUCGCGCCACUGCUUUCUGUAUGUGCGCUGAGCUGCCCCUGGGUAGGCUGGCCUGGGGGUGUUGCUUCCUCGCGCCGAGCCUUAGAGGUAUGUGCGCUGAGCCGCCCCUGGUCGGGGCUGGGGGCGUUAGCUUUCUCACGCCGAGCUUGAUGCCAUGUGCGCUGAGCCUGCCCCUGGCUGGGCUCAGCUUGGGGGUGUUGCUUCCUCUCGCGCCGAGCCUUCGGGUAUGUGCGCUGAGCCGCCCCGGGCUGGGGCUGGGAGCGUUGCUUUGUGCUGCCAGGCCUUAUGUCUCUGCACUGAGCCGCCCCAGUGAGGGCUGGGGGCGUUGCUUCCUCUCGCCACGAGCUUCACGUCUUUGCUCUGAGAAGCCCCUCAUUUGGCCAGGGGGUGGCUCUCUCCAAGCCUUGCUGCCUGACUUUGCCCUUCAUGCUCCCAGUGGUGUUGAGCUGGCCACUCCGGCCUGCCCACGGAGCAAGCUCGGGACGGUAGAAGUGUGGCCUCCCGGACCUCUUCCAGCAGCAGCAGCAGCCUCUGCUGGCUGAAGGCACACGCCUGACGCUUGGUGUGCUCACGCUCCUCCUUGGCUUGGGCUCUUGCGUGAGCAGGGCUGCUCCUCAAGAAGGCCUUCUGAAGAGGGAAAAGAGUCAAGAGCUGCGAGAAGCUGAUCUCUUGCCUUGGGAGGCAAAGGAGAGAAAGGGCAGAAGAAAGAAGUGCCGCAGGCUGGCGAAAGAGAAGCCGCAAGGAGCAACAGGAGGAGACCUGGACGGGGAAGAAGGAGGCGGAGAAGACUGGCUCUCAAGCAGCUUCACAGAAGGAAGAAGGGGGAGAUUCCGCUCCCACCAGCUGGAGGGCCUCAUUGCUGCCCUUCUCUCUGCUCUGUCCCCCUGAGUAGCCACUGGUUUGGGAGGGGCGUGGACAGAACAGGAUGGACUCGGUGUCCAUCCGCUCAGUGGCCCUUUCUUGAACUGGGCUGCGGCUUUCUCGUGCUGGACUUCAUGUCUCUGCACUUGGGGAGCCCCACAAAUAGUGAGAGGGUGGCCCUCAUAGGGGCCAUCCAAGGGGCAGCCCCUAUUUCAGCUGAGCUGUGGCUUUCUCGGGCUGGACUUUAUGUCUUUGCACUGGGGAGCCCUACGACUGUGGGAAGUGUCUGUAUACUGGAGAACUCCUGAUUUGUCUGGGGGCGUGUUUCUCGUGCUGGACUUCACGUCUUUGCACUGGGGAGCCCUACAAAUAGUGAGAGGGUGGCCCUCAUAGGGGGCAGCCCCUAUUUCAGCUGAGGUGUGGCUUUCUCGGGCUGGACUUUAUGUCUUUGCACUGGGGAGCCCUACGACUGUGGGAAGUGUCUGUAUACUGGAGAACUCCUGAUUUGUCUGGGGGCGUGUUUCUCGUGCUGGACUUCACGUCUCUGCACUGGGGAGCCCUACAAAUAGUGAGAGGGUGGCCCUCGUAGGGGCCGUACACGGAGCAGCCCCCAUUUCGGCUGAGGUGUGGCUUUCUCGUGCUGGACUUCACGUCUUUGCACUGCGGAGCCCUACAAUUGUGGGAGCGUGGCCUCUUUUUGAUUAUUAUUAUUUUGACAUUUCUAGCCCGCUCUUCUUCCCAGGAGCCCAAAGCGGUGUACUGCAUACUUGUUUCCCCCCCUCCCACAACAACCCUGUGAGUAGGUUAGGCUGAGAGAGAAGCGACUGGCCCAGAGUCACCCAGCUAGUAGCAUGGCUGAAUGGGGAUUUGGACUCGAGUCUCCCCGGUCCUAGUAAACUAGGGAACCCCUGAUUUGGCUGUGGUGCCGGUUUCACGUGCUGGACUUCACGUCUUUGCACUGGGGAGCCCUACAAUGGUAAGAGUAUGGCCAUCGUAGUGGCUGUAUACUGGGGACCCCCGAUUUGGCCGGGGAGCGGCUUUCUCAUGCUGGACUUCACGUCCUGGCCCUGGGGAGCCCCGAAAGCGGUGGGAGUAUGUCCUCCCCAGACGAGCCUGAGUGUCUGUAUGCUGCGUGGGGGCGUGUUUCUCGUGCUGGACUUCACGUCUCUGCACUGGGGAGCCCUACAAAUAGUGAGAGGGUGGCCCUUGUAGGUGCCGUACAUGGAGCAGCCCCCAUUUCGCCUGAGGUGUGGCUUUCUCGUGCUGGACUUUAUGUCUUUGCACUGGGGAGCCCUACAACUGUGGGAGCGUGGCCUUCUUGGUGUCUGUAUACUGGAGAAGCCCUGAUUUGUCUGGGGGGCGUGUUUCUCAUGUUGGACUUCACGUCUUUGCACUGUCUGUCUUAGUGGCCAUACAGUGGGUUUCGGGUAUCACUUUUUCCAAUUGGAUUUUACAUUUUUUUCUUUGUAUUUUACAUUUCAAUGUCUGGGGGAGCUUCAAUCCUGGUUAUAUGACUUUGCUCUUCUUUUUCUGAAUGGUGAUGAAGUGGUACCUCCGGCCUUGCGUGGUACGACAGUAGGGGUGCGACAUUUCUGACCUCUUCAAGCCGCGUGGUAUGCUGAGCACGCUCUGCUGGCUGAAAGCACACGAGAAUAAGAGAAAAAUUGAAGGAACAACUGCAGAACAAGGAGAAAGAACAUCAGAAAGUCCCAACAGGAGCCCUGAAGACUAACUGGAGAAGUGGGAGGAGAAGACCGGAUAACAAGAAGCAGGAGAGAAGAAACAGGCAGGCUCCCUCCUCGGAGCUGACUGCCUCCUUCACGACUGAGUAGCAAUUCUGUCACAUAGAAAUAUCCCCACAUUGCUGUGAGCCUGUUUCAACCCAAGAUGGCGACCAUCUCCAAAGGACUUCACUUUUUGGUGGCGUCUAAAUAUUGGCACAGCCCUGUGAAUCUGCUUGGCCUGUCAGCUGGUGGGGGUCUCAAAAGAGCGGCAUGCUUGAGGGGCAGUUUUCUGGCAGUUCAGUCUUCAUGCCUGACCCUGUGUCUCGGCUGCUUCCUGCUCUGAGAAAUCCCCAAGGUACUUGGAGUGUGGUUUUCUUCAUUCCUGGCUUGAUAUCUCUGCUUCAGAUUGCUCAGAGCCUCCACUGAGAUGUCUGGAGAGCCACUGGCCUUGGGUGUGUCCAGGGUUUUAUCCUAGAUGGCUUCUCUGCCCCCCAUUAUUUCUGUGUGCUGCUUGCAAUAUUGUUUAAAUACAAACUUAAAAUAUGUUAGAAACUAAAACAAAAAUAGCUGUUGCAUAGGAUAACAUCUAAAAGGAUAGGAUCAAACCUAAAAAGAAUAAACAAGUGUAGUAUAAUAUAAGUAGGAUAACAUCUAAAAGAUUAGGAUAAAAUCUAAAAAGGUUCAACAAGUGUAGUAUAAUAUAAGACAUACAGAUCUAUUAACUUAAUUAGGAAGGCUAAUAGGAACUAAAAUGAAGCAUUUUCAACGUAGAUUAGAUAUUCUAGACCAACUAGUGUAUUAAAAUAAUAUUCAAAGCAGCAUAUGGGAAUGGUGAGAAAAAGCACUUUGCUACUGAAAGUCUGAAAGGCCAGAACCCAUCCACCACUCGCUCAUGUAGCUCUUCCGUGGCUCCGAGUCUCUUCCUGCUAGCAUCUUACAGACUAUUCCCCCUUUGAUGCAAAGAUGGGUGCUUGGGCAAUUUGAUGUAGAAAUGAAGAUCAAUAUUGUCUUUGUGUAGCUUUGCUUACUGACAGGCUUAUAGGAUGCUGAAGAGGGUAUUUCUGUCAAGCACCCAGAACUGAUUCUUAUUUCAAGUUGUUUUAACCUGUGUUUUUUUGUAAAUGGCCCAGAGCCAUGAGGUUUGCUAAAUAAAAAACUCUCCGUAUUGUC